AAUUUUUAAUCAUUUUAUUAAAAUUAAUAAAAUUACAUUUAAAUCCUUUUUCAAUUAAAUAAUUUCAAUUUAAUAUUCAUUUAAAUAAAUUUAUUGUAAUUCAUUUAUUCUAAAUUAUUAAUUACAUCUUGAUUUGAUUUAAUUUUUUAUUUAAAAUUUUAAAUAUUAUAAAUUUAUAAAAAAUAUUUUUUUAACAAUGAUAUAUAAAUUUAUAAAUUAAGUAAAUUAAUUCGUGGAUUAUCAAUUAUUAAACAAAUUCCUCUAAAUAAAAUAAAAUACUGCCAAAUUAUUUAAGUUUCAUAUAAUAAUAUUAAUUACUAUUUUAAUAUUAAACUAUUUAAUUUAUAUAAUAGGG
This 355-nucleotide ribosomal RNA is filed under the name Dahlica lazuri. RNAcentral describes it as "partial 12S ribosomal RNA". The record is from RNAcentral. Lineage: Eukaryota; Metazoa; Arthropoda; Insecta; Lepidoptera; Psychidae.